CGCGCAGGCGGUCUUUCAAGUCAGUGGUGAAAGCCCGGAGCUCAACUCCGGAAUUGCCAUUGAAACUGUCAGACUUGAGGAUGAGAGAGGUGAGUGGAAUUCCCAGUGUAGAGGUGAAAUUCGUAGAUAUUGGGAAGAACACCGGUGGCGAAGGUGGCUCACUGGCUCAUAUCUGACGCUCAGGCGCGACAGCGUGGGGAUCAAACA
RNAcentral lists this ribosomal RNA (207 nucleotides) under uncultured bacterium. RNAcentral describes it as "partial 16S ribosomal RNA". It matches the Rfam family "Bacterial small subunit ribosomal RNA", at positions 568 to 774 of the family's 1533-position model. The record is from RNAcentral.